This 2164-nucleotide long non-coding RNA is filed under the name Zostera marina. RNAcentral describes it as "long non-coding RNA (ZMAR_LNC002663)". The record is from RNAcentral. Lineage: Eukaryota; Viridiplantae; Streptophyta; Magnoliopsida; Alismatales; Zosteraceae.
UUCUGAUUCUGGUACAUGUUCCUCACUGCAACCAUCCUCGCAUUGGGGAAUAGUCAGUAAUGAUUUUUAUAUACAAAUAUUGAAUAGGAACUUAGAAUUGAAGAAAUACCUCGGCGUUACAAGAUCUGAAUUCUCAUUUUCGAGGUCUACACAGCUGUAAUUGAUGUUUAAGAAUAAAUUAUUAAUAGUUUCCAUAAACCUGUGCAAUAAAUCAUUCUUUACCUUUGUAAAUAAAUUUGUUCUUAAUGAAAUGAAAAAACUAAAAAUAUAUUGACAAAGUUACAUGUUGGUGCAAUGAUCUUUCUCUUCCUCGUAAUUCUGUAAGUUCAUCAAUGUUUCUCCAACGUCUAAUUGAAAUUUAGUAAUUAUAUAACAUUUUCCAAGUUUGGGUAUUCAAUAAAAUUCAUCAAAAUUGAAUGAAAAUACACGUCAUUAACUCAUUAUUACCGUAGGAUGCAGAUUCGGUAAUGUAGUCGUUUUCCUGCGAAGAAUUUUAGUUAUGACCUUAUAUAGUUAAUAUAAAUAAAAAAAUUAUUUCACGAUAACCUGCGAAAUAAUGGUGUCCAUGAUAUUACCUGUUAAAAAAAUUAAUUGGGGAAAUCUAUAUGAAUCAUCAUUUAGAAACAUAUAAUAAAAUUCGAAACAUCGCAGAAAUUUUUGUUUCAAACCAUAUGAUGGCAUGAUGCAUAGCUUGAUUUUCAUGUUUUGAAAUACGAAAUCACAGUUAAAAAAUAGAUAUUCUGGGUUAGAACAGUUCUGGAAUUGAUAAUUUACAUCUCAAUCUGAACAAUCAUUUGCAUCUGAUUAUCUGGAAAUAGUUUAAGAAAUAUGAAUAUAGAUUGAUAAGUUCAACAGUGCAUUACCAAAACUCAGUAGUUGUGGAAAUGUAAAACUCAACAGGUAUGGAAAUGUUUUGGUAUUUUUUUAUGCCUAAUUCGAGUAGUAAAUGCAUAGGGUAUAACUAAUUCGAGUUGUAAUUGGGAAUCCAAAAAUCAUAGUUAUUAUCUACUUUUCUUCUGACAUGUUUAUUUAAAAUUUAUAUUGAAUUUCCUGAAAACACCAAGAACACUGAUUUUUUGGAAGGACUCCGCUUUUCAGGAACGGAAGUGAUAGACGAUAUUGAGAUAGCUGCAAAGGUUCCUCGUAAUCUGGUCGAGGUAUGGGUGGUGGAUGUAUUACGCUCCUUGGCAGGUAAGGAUAGAUGUGGAUAGGAGACUUAAUUAAUACAUUUUUUACCCCUUGAAGAUUCUCCUUCAUUCAAUGAUUUCCUUUUGAAUGGCCAAUGUCCCCGCAUUUCUGAAAGACGCGUGGAAGAUCCAGUUGUUGGAGGGACCCUAGUGCAGGAGAAGGUGGAAUCAGGAUCGGAGAAUUAGCAAUUGUCCCAUUUUCUGAUUUAUCAUCACUGAUCAUAAUCACCUCAUACACAUCGUCAUCAGUCCUCCUCAUGGGGUUGUUGCCUUGCACGUUUCUCUUCCGAGAACUCAUUCCUACUCAACAAAUGUAACAUAUUUCAUCACAAUCUCAUAUAAAUGUAACCAUAAGGGCUUCAUUAUAUAAUAUCUAAGAAGAUAUCAACAAUAAUAUACACCUCAUUAACUAGAAAUAGUUAUAAAAAAUCGAUUAUAGAUUUCCAAACAUACAUUUUCAAGCCUGGAAGAAUGUAAUUAUUGGAAUCGAAAAACAAUUAUCUGGAAUUAGUAAUUUUCAGAUUUUCUUCAUCCAAUUAGUAAUUUAGUCAAACCGGUAAUGUUAAAAUUUGUACAGGGAAAAAAAACAAUGCUGGGCAUGGUCUAAUUUUCAACAAAUUAAGUAGUAAUAAAAUCUACGAAACUCUGAAAACUAGGUCGGCGAAAACCUUGAACACAUAAUGUGAUUCAAUAUCAAAACAGACAAACAAAAAACUAAACAUAGAAAAUCGAUAUUGGUAAAAUAAUACUAAAAACCUGGGAGAAACGAAACCUUUAGAUGAAUCGAUAGAUAUUAUGGCCGAAUAACUUUUCCGAUGUUCUCAAAAUACAGCCACGACGAAUGUUUAAAUAGAGCAAAACCUAUACCGCUGUAAUGAUGAAAUCCCUGUCAUCGAUCGUCGGCCCAGAGCACGUCGCCGUCGGAAGGCAUGGUUAGGCCCAUGGGCGUAUCUAGGGGGGGCAAGGGAGGGCAAUUG